UCGGAUGUGGUGUACGGUGCACACCUGCUCUAAAUAGUAGUGCGACAAGAGAGUGACUGGUUGCAGGAAGCCCGGGUUCGAUUCCCGGCGUCCGAA
Non-coding RNA from Mycena galericulata, 96 nucleotides. Lineage: Eukaryota; Fungi; Basidiomycota; Agaricomycetes; Agaricales; Mycenaceae. The record is from the annotation of a GenBank genome assembly.